GUGCUUUCUUCAGCAGCACAUAUACUAAAUUUGGAACAAUACAGAGAAGAUUAGCAUAGUCCCUGAGCAAGGGUGACACGCAAAUUCGUGAAGAGUUCCAGAAUAAA
Molecule: small nuclear RNA, 107 nt
Organism: Rhinolophus ferrumequinum (greater horseshoe bat)
Lineage: Eukaryota; Metazoa; Chordata; Mammalia; Chiroptera; Rhinolophidae
Source: Ensembl